AUACAGAGGGUGCGAGCGUUAAUCGGAAUUACUGGGCGUAAAGCGCGCGUAGGCGGCUUAUUAAGUCAGAUGUGAAAUCCCCGGGCUCGACCUGGGAACUGCAUCUGAUACUGGUAAGCUAGAGUUUUGGAGAGGGAAGUAGAAUUUCAGGUGUAGCGGUGAAAUGCAUAGAGAUCUGAAGGAAUACCAGUGGCGAAGGCGACUUCCUGGCCAAAAACUGACGCUGAGGUGCGAAAGCGUGGGUAGCAAACGGGAUUAGAUACCCCGGUAGUCC
This 274-nucleotide ribosomal RNA is filed under the name uncultured bacterium. Its description in RNAcentral is "partial 16S ribosomal RNA". It matches the Rfam family "Bacterial small subunit ribosomal RNA", at positions 523 to 796 of the family's 1533-position model. The record is from RNAcentral.